This 447-nucleotide ribosomal RNA is filed under the name uncultured bacterium. RNAcentral describes it as "partial 16S ribosomal RNA". It matches the Rfam family "Bacterial small subunit ribosomal RNA", at positions 29 to 523 of the family's 1533-position model. The record is from RNAcentral.
AACGAACGCUGGCGGCAGGCCUAACACAUGCAAGUCGAGCGCCCUUUCGGGGGAGCGGCGGACGGGUGAGUAACGCGUGGGAAUAUGCCCUUCUCUACGGAAUAGCCUCGGGAAACUGAGAGUAAUACCGUAUACGCCCUUAGGGGGAAAGAUUUAUCGGGGAAGGAUUAGCCCGCGUUGGAUUAGGUAGUUGGUGGGGUAAUGGCCUACCAAGCCGACGAUCCAUAGCUGGUUUGAGAGGAUGAUCAGCCACACUGGGACUGAGACACGGCCCAGACUCCUACGGGGGGCGGCAGUGGGGAAUUUUAGACAAUGGGGGCAACCCUGAUCUAGCCAUGCCGCGUGAGCGAUGAAGGCCUUAGGGUUGUAAAGCUCUUUCAGCUGGGAAGAUAAUGACGGUACCAGCAGAAGAAGCCCCGGCUAACUCCGUGCCAGCAGCCGCCGCCG